RNAcentral lists this small nucleolar RNA (97 nucleotides) under Pogona vitticeps (central bearded dragon). Its description in RNAcentral is "Z30 small nucleolar RNA (ENSPVIG00000010343.1)". It matches the Rfam family "Z30 small nucleolar RNA". Rfam says of the family: Z30 belongs to the C/D class of snoRNA which contain the C (UGAUGA) and D (CUGA) box motifs. Most of the members of the box C/D family function in directing site-specific 2'-O-methylation of substrate RNAs. Lineage: Eukaryota; Metazoa; Chordata; Lepidosauria; Squamata; Agamidae. The record is from Rfam by way of RNAcentral.
AGGCAAUGAUGAGCGAAGUAUAGUCUGACCUGGUACUGCCAUGGCGUCUUUUUUGGCACUGACCAGGGUGUGAUCACGCAAUCUUCUCUCUGAGCUG